ACGCUCGACACCUACGGAGGCAGCAGUGAGGAAUAUUGGUCAAUGGGCGCUAGCCUGAACCAGCCAAGUAGCGUGAAGGAUGAAGGCUCUAUGGGUCGUAAACUUCUUUUAUAUAAGAAUAAAGUGCAGUAUGUAUACUGUUUUGUAUGUAUUAUAUGAAUAAGGAUCGGCUAACUCCGUGCCAGCAGCCGCGGUAAUCUGAGCGGGCUGGCAAGGC
RNAcentral lists this ribosomal RNA (217 nucleotides) under uncultured bacterium. RNAcentral's name for it is "partial 16S ribosomal RNA". It matches the Rfam family "Bacterial small subunit ribosomal RNA", at positions 328 to 539 of the family's 1533-position model. The record is from RNAcentral.